RNAcentral lists this ribosomal RNA (1073 nucleotides) under Dichotomocladium floridanum. RNAcentral's name for it is "SSU rRNA". It matches the Rfam family "Eukaryotic small subunit ribosomal RNA", at positions 73 to 1155 of the family's 1831-position model. Lineage: Eukaryota; Fungi; Mucoromycota; Mucoromycetes; Mucorales; Lichtheimiaceae. The record is from RNAcentral.
UUUAUACGGCGAAACUGCGAAUGGCUCAUUAAAUCAGUCAUAAUCUACUUGGCACAAAUUCUACCACCUGGAUAACCGUGGUAAUUCUAGAGCUAAUACAUGCAAGAGAAGUGGCGACGCAAGAAGCCAUGCAUUUAUUAGAUACAAGCCAACUUGGGGUAAAACCCAGUUCUGGUGAAUCAUAAUAACUUGCCGAUCGAAGUGAGUCGACAGCUCAAUCGAUUCUCUGCCCUAUCACCGCUUAUCUACGUAGUGUAGUGGACUACUUAGGCAGUAACGGGUAACGGGGAAUAAGGGUUCUAUUCCGGAGAGGGAGCCUGAGAAACGGCUACCACAUCCAAGGAAGGCAGCAGGCGCGCAAAUUACCCAAUCCCGACAUGGGGAGGUAGUGACAAUACAUAACAAUGCAGGACCUUUUAGGUCUUGCAAUUGGAAUGAGUACAAUUUAAAUCCUUUAACGAGGAUCAAUUGGAGGGCAAGUCUGGUGCCAGCAGCCGCGGUAAUUCCAGCUCCAAUAGCGUAUAUUAAAGUUGUUGCAGUUAAAACGUCCGUAGUCAAGCAUUUGCCUUUGGACUAGGUUCUCUUCAUUCAGUUGUUGGGAAUAUCUAGGACUAGGCAUUAGCUUAGUUGUGCUUUGCUUCCUUUGGGAGUAAGGUACAUUAUGCUAAGCGUAUUACCAUGAGCAAAUCAGAGUGCUUAAAGCAGGCUUUACAGCUUGAAUGUGUUAGCAUGGAAUAAUGAAAUAUGACCCAAGGUCUUUUUCGUUGGUUUUGAGGCCUAAGUAAUGAUAAAUAGGAGUGGUCGGAGGCAUUUGUAUUUGAGCGCUAGAGGUGAAAUUCUUGGAUUGCUCGAAGACAAACUACUGCGAAAGCUUUUGUCCUAGCACAUCUCCGUUGAUCAGGGGCUAAAGUUAGGGGAUCGAAGACGAUUAGAUACCGUCGUAGUCUUAACCACAAACGAUGCCGACUAGAGAUUGGGCUUGUUCAUUUCGACUUGCUCAGGAUCUUAGCGAAAGCAAAGUUUUUGGGUUCUGGGGGGAGUACGGCUCGCAAGGCUGAAACUUAAAGGAAUUG